UACGUAGGGGGCAAGCGUUGUCCGGAAUCAUUGGGCGUAAAGAGCGUGUAGGCGGCCUGGUAAGUCCGCUGUGAAAGUCCAGGGCUCAACCCUGGAAUGCCGGUGGAUACUGUCGGGCUAGAGUGCGGAAGAGGCGAGUGGAAUUCCUGGUGUAGCGGUGAAAUGCGCAGAUAUCAGGAGGAACACCAAUUGCGAAGGCAGCUCGCUGGGACGUAACUGACGCUGAGACGCGAAAGCGUGGGGAGCAAACAGG
This 253-nucleotide ribosomal RNA is filed under the name uncultured bacterium. RNAcentral describes it as "partial 16S ribosomal RNA". It matches the Rfam family "Bacterial small subunit ribosomal RNA", at positions 524 to 776 of the family's 1533-position model. The record is from RNAcentral.